AGGACGAACGCUGGCGGGGUGCAUGAGACAUGCAAGUCGAACGAGGUGCCAUUGAGCUUGCUUGAUGGUUACCUAGUGGCGGACGGCUGAGUAACGCGUAGGUGACCUGCCCAAAAAGUGGGGAAUAACUGCCCGAAAGGGUGGCUAAUACCGCAUGUGGUCGAUGGUUCAUUUCAUCGUCUAAAGGAGUAAUCCGUCUUUUGGAGGGGCCUGCGUCCGAUUAGCUAGUGGUGAGGUAAUGGCUCACCAAGGCGACGAUCGGUAGCUGGUCUGAGAGGAUGAUCAGCCAGACGUGGGGACUAGGACGAACCGGCCCAGUACCUCCGUAACGGGAGGCCAGGCGUAGGUCGGGUAAUUUUCG
Molecule: ribosomal RNA, 361 nt
Filed under: uncultured soil bacterium
Lineage: Bacteria
Description: bacterial SSU rRNA
Rfam family: Bacterial small subunit ribosomal RNA
Source: RNAcentral